This 403-nucleotide ribosomal RNA is filed under the name Fusobacteriota bacterium. RNAcentral describes it as "Fusobacteria bacterium partial 16S ribosomal RNA". It matches the Rfam family "Bacterial small subunit ribosomal RNA", at positions 355 to 776 of the family's 1533-position model. The record is from RNAcentral. Lineage: Bacteria; Fusobacteriati; Fusobacteriota.
UGGGGAAUAUUGCACAAUGGGGGAAACCCUGAUGCAGCGACGCCGCGUGAGCGAAGAAGGUUUUCGAAUCGUAAAGCUCUGUCCUAUGGGAAGAUAAUGACGGUACCAUAGGAGGAAGCCCCGGCUAACUACGUGCCAGCAGCCGCGGUAAUACGUAGGGGGCAAGCGUUGUCCGGAAUCACUGGGCGUAAAGGGUUCGCAGGCGGAAAUGCAAGUCAGUUGUGAAAGGCAGAGGCUCAACCUCUGUAAGCAAUUGAAACUGUAUCUCUUGAGAUGUGGAGAGGCAAGUGGAAUUCCUAGUGUAGCGGUGAAAUGCGUAGAUAUUAGGAAGAAUACCGGUGGCGAAGGCGACUUGCUGGACACAAACUGACGCUGAGGAACGAAAGCGUGGGUAGCAAACAGG